Molecule: ribosomal RNA, 1477 nt
Filed under: Bacillus altitudinis
Lineage: Bacteria; Bacillati; Bacillota; Bacilli; Caryophanales; Bacillaceae
Description: bacterial SSU rRNA
Rfam family: Bacterial small subunit ribosomal RNA
Source: RNAcentral
CAAGUCGAGCGGACAGAAGGGAGUUUGCUCCCAAAUGUUAGCGUCGAACGCAUGAGUAACACUUGAGUAACGUGCCUGUAAGACUGGGAUAACUCCGGGUAUCCGGAGCUAUUUCGGGAUAGUUCCUUGAACUGCAUGUUUCACGGAUGAAGGAUGGUUUCGGCUGUCACUUACAGAUGGACUUCUUGGCUCAUUAACUAGUUGGUGAGGUAAUCGGCUCACCAAGGGGGUGAUGGGUAGCCGACGUGAGAGGGUGAUCGCCCCCUGUGGGGGUGAGACACGGCCCAGACUCUUACGGGAGGCACCAGUUGGGAAUCUUCGCCACUGGAGGAAAGUCUGCCGGAGCAACGAAGCCUGAGUGCUGAAGGUUUUCGGAUGGUAAAGCUGCGUUGUUAGGGAAGACCUAGUUCAAGAGUAACUGCUUGCACGUUGCCGGUCCCUCACCAGAAACCCACGGCUAAUUACGUGCCACCAGCCGCGUUAAUAGUUAGGUGGCAAGCUUUUUCCGGAAUUAUUGGGGGUAAAGGGUUGUCGGGCGGUUUCUUAAUUGUGAUGUGAAUAGCCCCCGGCUCAACCGGGGAGGGUCAUUGGAAAGUGGGAAACUUGAGUGCAGAAGAGGGGAGUGGAUUUCCAGGUGUAGCGGUGAAAUGGGUAGAGACGUGGAGGACCACCAGUGGGGAAGGGGGUUUUUUGGUCUGUAACUGCCGUUGAGGAGGGAAAGGGUGGGGAGCGACCAGGUUUAGAUACCUUGUUUGUCCACUAGCCCGUAACGGAUGAGUGUUAAGUGUUUGUGGCUCUUCCGCCCCUUCCUAGUGCUGCAUCUCAACGCAUUUAGCACUCCCGCUGGAGGCGCAUGCCGGCCCCAGAGUGAAACUCCAAGGGAUUGACGGGGGGCCGCCCCAGCGGUGGAACCUGGGGUUUAAUUCCAAUCCACGCCAAAAACCUUUCCCGGGCUUGACCUCCUCUGACAACCCUGCAGAUAUGGCUUUCCCUUCGGGGACAGAAUGACAGGGGGGGCAGGGUUGCCGCCACCUCGGGCCGUGAAAUGUUGGGUUAAGUCCCGCAACGAGCGCACCCCUUGAUCGUAUUUGCCACCAUUCAUGUGGGCACUCUAAGGGGACUGCCGGUGACCAACCCGAAGAAGGUGGGGAUGACCUCAAAUCAUCCUGCCCCUUAUGACCUGGGCUACACCCCUGCUACCAUGGACCGAACCAAAGGCUGCCAAACCCCAGGGGUGAACCAAUCCCACAAAUCUGUUCUCAGUUCGGAUCGCAGUCUGCAACUCGACUGCCUGAAGCUGGAAUCGCUAGUAAUCGCGGAUCACAUGCCGCGGUGAAUACAUUCCCGGGGCUUGUACACACCCCCCGUCACACCACGAGAGUUUGCAACACCCCAAGUCGGUGAGGUAACCUUUAUGGAGCCAACCGCCCAAUGUGGGGCAGAUGAUUGGAGUGAAGUCAUAACAGGUAACCGCUAA